CAAUAGCGUAUAUUAAAGUUGUUGCAGUUAAAAAGCUCGUAGUUGAAUUUUUGCUUGCCGCCGAUGUCGGAACUUCCGUACGUUCGGCGGCGUGCAUCCUUGGGUGGAACCUGUGUGGCAUUAGGUUGUCGUGCAGGGGAUGCUCAUCGUUUACUGUGAAAAAAUUAGAGUGUUCAAAGCAGGCUUACGCCGUUGAAUAUAUUAGCAUGGAAUAAUAAGAUAGGACCUUGGUACUAUUUUGUUGGUUUGCGCACCAAAGUAAUGAUUAAUAGGGACAGUUGGGGGUAUUCGUAUUCCGUUGUCAGAGGUGAAAUUCUUGGAUUUACGGAAGACGUACUACUGCGAAAGCAUUUACCAAGGAUGUUUUCAUUAA
This 373-nucleotide ribosomal RNA is filed under the name uncultured eukaryote. RNAcentral describes it as "partial 18S ribosomal RNA". It matches the Rfam family "Eukaryotic small subunit ribosomal RNA", at positions 592 to 976 of the family's 1831-position model. The record is from RNAcentral.